AGGGAGGGAGGGGGCUUAAAUGGGGAGGGGGCGAAGCGUGAGGUCAUGUGAGGAGGGGGGGUCUCGACCUGCCCCCCCCGCAGUGUGGCGUCUUAAGGAGGGAAGGGGUCAGGCCCCUUUUCUCAAUGGAGGUCUAUAUGGGGAAGGGACCCUCUCCAAAAUGAAAGGGUGUGUGUUGGGGAGGGGUCUUCCAUCAUGGAGAUCUUACGAUGGUCAAGUUCAAGAUAAAUAAGGUUUUUAGGAUUCACAUCCCCUCCCCCAAAUAGGAUGUGCGUGGAGUUGGGUUAAUAAAAGAUUGGGGGGGGUGCUCCAAUGUCUGAUGGGGAGGGAAGAUGGGGGCCUUUGUGGCUUUUAUCAUAUUACUGGGUCACAGGGAGGGGGGCUGGGACAUCCCACCAAUGAUGGCAUAUUAUAGGGUGGAAUCUUAUGAAGGUGAAGAAGUGGGAGGGGUUCAAAGUGUCUUUCCUCCUCCCACCCCCCAUUUUUUUAUUUUUACCCAUGUUGGGGUUUGAGGAGCUGGAAGUGGAUGGGUUAAUAGGAGAUGGGUGUAGAGGAAGAAAAAGCUGUAUAUGGCCAGCUUUCUCCUCCCUUUGCAAAGGACCUGGGGGUGAUGAAGUCUAAGGGAAAUCUUUUAACUUCUCCCCAAAAGCGGGAGGAGUCGAGAAAGGAAUCGCCUCAAAAACAGCUGCACCUGUGGAACACCCUCCCCUUAAAAAUGAAGGUGGAAGUCUUCUUGGAAUGGGCUAGGGGGUGGAGGAGUCCCAAAAGGCCUCAUAAAAGUAUGCAGUGCUGGCAGAGAGACUUAUAAAGGUUGGGAUGCUGAGAAGAGGAUCCCUUAAAUAAGGGGGGAUUUGAUAAAAGAGGGUGAUGUGACGAGAUAAUAUGAUAAAGGGGUUUGCCUGUCUUGAAAUGGGAAGAACAUAAUAAUUUGCAAAAUUCAGAGCAGGUGGAUAGGAAAGGGGGUGCCUUUAAAAGGAGAUUCUGUUGUGUGACUAGAAAACCUCAUUUUGAGGGCACUUGAACUGCUGAGAAAGAGAAAUGAUAGUGGACACCUGAUGGGGG
Long non-coding RNA from Podarcis raffonei (Aeolian wall lizard), 1062 nucleotides. RefSeq lists it as uncharacterized. Lineage: Eukaryota; Metazoa; Chordata; Lepidosauria; Squamata; Lacertidae. The record is from RefSeq and is a predicted model, not a curated record. The transcript is spliced from 2 exons.